Ochotona princeps (American pika) is the source of this 611-nucleotide long non-coding RNA. RefSeq lists it as uncharacterized. Lineage: Eukaryota; Metazoa; Chordata; Mammalia; Lagomorpha; Ochotonidae. The transcript has 3 exons. The record is from RefSeq and is a predicted model, not a curated record.
UUGACAGAAUGUGUAACAGUGAAUGGGGUGGAGCCGCUGGGUGGGGUCUGGGACAGGCAGCUGGGAGAAACCAAAAGGAAGAAAAAAAAACCAUUGCCCCCGAUAUCACUAACGCCGGGCGGAAGAAGUAAACCAGAAACUGGGGGGAGGAGGAAGGGUUUCAGAGCUUACCUCCACUCACACCUAUGGCUAACUCUCUCACGUUCUUCUCUCUUGAGAUAAAUAAAACAGAGCUUACACCGGCCCUGGUCGGUACUCCUUCCUUCUAACUCUCUACAGAACUCGGUUUGUGGUCCGAAGGAGUGAGGACCCCGAAUUCACCAGCUCAGUCCCGGCCCCGCCCCGUCGGCCAGAGGGCUUCGAGGAGAGGAUGCCUUCGGAGGCGCAGAAUCCCAAAACCAAAAUCAGCCAGCACAUCUUCAGUGGUUGCUGUAAUGAGGUUUUAUGCUUCACAGUACUGUGGAGUGACUGGAAGUGUAUUCAGCCUGAGGGCCACACAGUGCUUUCUUCUGGACAAGAUGUGCUGGUCAAGAAUGACUGAGCUACUUCGCAACCUGGGCAACUUAAGCAACAGAACUUUGAUGUUUAUAUUUAAGCUGGCUGGGGGUAUG